RNAcentral lists this ribosomal RNA (253 nucleotides) under uncultured prokaryote. RNAcentral describes it as "partial 16S ribosomal RNA". It matches the Rfam family "Bacterial small subunit ribosomal RNA", at positions 524 to 776 of the family's 1533-position model. The record is from RNAcentral.
UACGGGGGGGGCAAGCGUUGUUCGGAAUUACUGGGCGUAAAGGGCUCGUAGGCGGCCAACUAAGUCAGACGUGAAAUCCCCAGGCUCAACCUGGGAACUGCGUCUGAUACUGGAUGGCUUGAAUUCGGGAGAGGGAUGCAGAAUUCCAGGUGUAGCGGUGAAAUGCGUAGAUAUGACAUAGAACACCAAUUGCGAAGGCAGCUGGCUACACAAAUAUUGACACUGAGGCACGAAAGCGUGGGGAUCAAACAGG